GAAGCUGGCCUACAUGCUACCUGCCUGCGU
This 30-nucleotide non-coding RNA is filed under the name Homo sapiens (human). Lineage: Eukaryota; Metazoa; Chordata; Mammalia; Primates; Hominidae. The record is from RNAcentral.